Carassius auratus (goldfish) is the source of this 3443-nucleotide long non-coding RNA. RefSeq lists it as uncharacterized. The transcript has 3 exons. NCBI's taxonomy places the organism in Eukaryota, Metazoa, Chordata, Actinopteri, Cypriniformes, Cyprinidae. The record is from RefSeq and is a predicted model, not a curated record.
CUGUGUUCUCUGAGUAUUGUAUUUACCCAUCUCAAACAACAUCUUAAACCAAGAGGGCUGUUUGGACAGAUGAAAUCCAUCUCCGCAUCAUAUUUAGGCUUUUUUAUCCCCAAAUGCUGGCACAAUAUUUGUAACUCAUGUCUUUGAACACUCUGUCAACAUUUAAUAUCAUCCAUGCUAGACUUUCCCUUCAUAUGACCAAUAUUGAUUUGAGAGUUGCGGUUCAUUUUCUAUGAGCACCUAAAGGGUCGAUUGUUCAGAAAUCCUGCAAGGAGACGGCAAACCAUGCAAAGACACUCAAUAAAAUGAAACUUUUGUUGAGGUGAAAAAAGCGGAACAAGCCUAAAUAUUGACAAAACGUAUUUGACUAGGGCUUGCUGUUCCUGGGAUUUUGUCAAGCUGUAUGGGAGCUUCAAGCCGGCUGUGAAUUGAGAAUGAAGGUCUGCAUGCUAGAGCAUGUCCAGGGAGCCCCAUGGCUGUUGUAGUGAGCGUAGGACUGACUUAAUUUCCUUCUCAGGUACCACACUUGGUGUCAACAAUACAAAGAAAGAAAGAUGCAUGCAAAAGUGAAGGAACUAAGACAAAAGUAUGAGGGAUGGAAGGAAGACGAGAGGAAAGAGAAAGGAAAUAAGGCAAGGAGGAGGAAAGAAAGAGCAGAAAGACAAAGUUGCAUGGCAGAAGGAAGAAAAAAAUACAGGGAAGGAAAGAUAGGAGGAAGGAGGAAGGAAAGAACACGGUUUGAAAGGAGGAGAGAAUAAAGUAGGAAGGCAAAAAAGAAGGAAUGAAGGAAGAAAAGCAAAAAGGAGGAUGGAAAAAGAAAAGUAAUGAAGGCAACAAGGAAUGAAUAAGGUUAGAGGACAAAAUUUAAGAAAAAAGUAGGGAAAACACUGGAAGGAGGAAAAAGAAAGCAUAACGAAAAGAAUGAAGAAAAAGAAAAGAGAAGCAAAAAAGCAGGAAUUAAAGUUUAAAGAAAAGAAACCCACACACAAAAUACAAAGUAGAAGAAAGAAAAACACAAUAUACUAAGCAGGAACACAUGAUCAAUGGAUACAGCAUAGUUUGUAAUAUAUUAAAUACAUGUUCUCUGACUGAGAUCUCGUCCUUAUGUUGUGUUGCGUAUAAUAAUAUAUUUUACAGCACAGUAAAGACUUUAUAAAUGAAAUAAAAUGUAUAUAAACCUUUUUGCGCUGUAGAAGUGAACAAAAUCUGCGGCCGGCAAUGAGAAGUGUUCUCUCCUGUGGACUCAAAAAGCCCGGUCUGACUGUAACUCAGCAGUUGGGUUGUUUCGACGGAGACAGACUCAACCCAGUGGAUGGGUAGAAGAAAAAAAAAAGUGACCCAGCAGCUUGGUGACAAAAAAUUUUUAAAAGAAAAAUUACCCAACAAGCAUUUGGGUAAAAAAUAAAAUAAAACAUAACAGCAUCUGGUUAAAAAAAGUAAAAACAACCCAAUAAAAUGACCCAACAGGCUGAACCCAGCAUUUUUUUGAGUGAAGGAAGGAAGAGAAAAGGACGACCGAUAGAAUGUUGCAAGGGGGAAAAGAAUGAGAAUGACUAAAAUAGGUCCCAUCCCAGACAAGAUAUUUUUUAGCUAUUUUUCUAGCCGAGCAAUCCCCAUCUUGAAGCAUAGAAACAGCAUAUAUUGGCUAAGGCAUGGAGACCAACCAAUCAUGAAGUAAUUUUUUUUUUUUUUUGUAUAAGAACCAUAAAGGUUACUGAACUUUGUUUAAUUAACUCUCGGAUAAUAAUCUGCAUUCACGUCUGUAAACCCAUAAAAACCCAUUCAAUGGACAUGGAGAAAACCACAGAGAACGAUCGCACAACACGCGCCCGAGACAAACCUCCAAACACCCUCGCUGCAUGAAGCUGUCGGAACAUAAUUCUAAAAUUACUCGGCGAAGCUAACUCAUUAGCAUACUCAUGCACUGGAGGGAAAUGCACUGAUUAUGUUUUACUUUACACUGAUGACUGAGAUGUAUUCAUCUGCUAGGACCGCGGCUUUGUGUGUCCGCGUGUUCAACCAGGGGUAGAGAGGGGGGACGGAUACGUAAUAAUCAUCCUCCCUAGAUUAAAUGGAGGCCAUUAGACAGAUAUUAGGGGUACAAUUGGGAGUAUUGGGCCAGGCUGUCCGCUAACGCUCUUCACUACGAUCAACGAGUGAGUCACGGCUCUGUCUAAUGGUUUAUCAGCCGUGUAGAUAUAGGACCGUGGCGUGGCUGCGUAGGGGAGCACACCGGGAGGCCUGGCCGUGGAUUUUUUAUCGGUCUAUGUAUCCGGCUUCUGUUCCCUUCUCUCCCAGCAUUACCGGGAAAAAGUCAUUACCGCUGUAAUUAUUUUCAAGAAGAUGUACUUAGAGAACUCACAAAUAUCAGCGAAUUGCAUGCUUUCUUUGAUAAAUACUAUAACAUUCAGGGGGGUUACGUAUUUUGCUGUACAGCCGCGCUUUUUUGUGGGGUUGUCAUCUAGGGUAUGUCCAUUUAGAAGUAGGCUGUUUUACCGCGUUUGCGUCCACGCGUUAAUUGGACGUAAUUAAGGACAUGCAAGCACCACAGAAAGGAUGAGAGCGGUACGCAUUAUGGGGUAGAGGCAUGUUCGAAAGGGAACGUGUAGGCUGGUUCUGUCAGAGAGGCACGAGGCAAACAAAGCUGCUCGGUCAUGACUGAGAGCGCCAUGAAUAAUCUCUGAUUGAGGCCAAUUAUCACAGCAGACAUAUCUGACAGAAACAGAGGCGGAGGAAAAAUGAGGAAGCCUUCUCUGGAGGACAAGAUCUGGGAGUUUAUCCUCAAACGCAGAAUAAUAGCAUGCCGCGUCAGCAGUCUGGUCUGAAACAUGUCAUAAAUCCGAGGGAACAGAGAUGUUGUCCAACCUAUGGAGGGAAAACCGAAGGAGAAAAUGAAAGAGAAAGAGUGGACAUCAUGCUGCUCGCCAACAGACAAUUCCAGCCACUCUGUCAGACAGCAGUUGACUGCUACUCUGCUAUUCCUGUUAGAGGACUGAACCCACUCUGCCUUGUUGGCACAGAUAUUUUUAGCCCUGGCGUUUUACAGAGAGACCAGCACUAGAGUGAUGGGGCCAGACAGGCCUCCAACUGCAAAAGGGCACAGCGGUGGGAUGAAGAGGGCGGAGGCGGGCAAGGUCACAUGAGGCCACUGGAGACGAGAGACUGGAAGAUGAUGUGAUGAGAUCUGGUGAUUGAGUCUUGUAGAAUCUGUCUUUGAAGAACUGCAUCUUAUACCUCUAAAAAGGCUAGCAUGGUAUUUUUAGCUUAAAAUAAAAAUAUAACUUAGUCGCAACUUUUAUUUCACAAUUCUGGUAUUUAUCAGAUGUAAGAAAAAAAUAUAUAUAUAACAAAAAUGUGAACUCAUAAUUCUGAGGAAAUAAAGUCAGGAUUUGCUAGACAUAAACUCACAAUUCUGACGUACCUUCUUAUAUUUUACAGUUUAC